CCAGGUUCUGCAUGACGGCAGCGCCCUUCGUCAAAACCCAAGUGCCGCACAAGUACCGGCAGAUGUUCUCAACCAUGGUAAACGGACGCUUUGAAAAGAGAGGCAACAACUUUGUUAAAUGUCUUUGUUAAAUGUUCAAUGACUUUGUUCCAUGUUAAAUGGCUUUGUUAAAAGUCAUUGUUCAGAAACUGUGCACAAAACAAUGACAAGCCCACUGAUUGAGGGUAGAUAGAAGCAUAGGCAUAUGUGAACAAGGCAAAAACAAUGAAAAGAGUGGGCAAUCCCUCUUGUGUAAAAAGGCAAUGGCCAUUCAUUUCUAUGCUUAAAUAUUCCUCCUGCAACUGCAUCAACUUUUUAAUCGACUAACAGAGAAUCUGUGGGACUAAUGCUUACUACAGCGCUAUAUUCCAAGUGUCUACCACCUGGUGAUUUGGUUGUACAGAAUCAGCUGAAGUUACAUAUAAAGAUGUAUAGAACUUAGUGAGAA
Molecule: long non-coding RNA, 487 nt
Filed under: Rattus norvegicus (Norway rat)
Lineage: Eukaryota; Metazoa; Chordata; Mammalia; Rodentia; Muridae
Description: long non-coding RNA NONRATT003314
Source: RNAcentral